This 506-nucleotide ribosomal RNA is filed under the name uncultured bacterium. RNAcentral describes it as "partial 16S ribosomal RNA". It matches the Rfam family "Bacterial small subunit ribosomal RNA", at positions 29 to 523 of the family's 1533-position model. The record is from RNAcentral.
AGUGAACGCUGGCGGUAGGCCUAACACAUGCAAGUCGAACGGCAGCACAGGAGAGCUUGCUCUCUGGGUAGCGAGUGGCGGACGGGUGAGGAAUACAUCGGAAUCUACUUUUUCGUGGGGGAUAACGUAGGGAAACUUACGCUAAUACCGCAUACGACCUACGGGUGAAAGCAGGGGACCUUCGGGCCUUGCGCGAUUGAAUGAGCCGAUGUCGGAUUAGCUAGUUGGCGGGGUAAAGGCCCACCAAGGCGACGAUCCGUAGCUGGUCUGAGAGGAUGAUCAGCCACACUGGAACUGAGACACGGUCCAGACUCCUACGGGAGGCAGCAGUGGGGAAUAUUGGACAAUGGGCGCAAGCCUGAUCCAGCCAUACCGCGUGGGUGAAGAAGGCCUUCGGGUUGUAAAGCCCCUUUGUUGGGAAAGAAAUCCAGCUGGCUAAUACCCGGUUGGGAUGACGGUACCCAAAGAAUAGGCACCGGCUAACUUCGUGCCAGCCGCCGCAGUAA